This 468-nucleotide ribosomal RNA is filed under the name uncultured bacterium. RNAcentral's name for it is "partial 16S ribosomal RNA". It matches the Rfam family "Bacterial small subunit ribosomal RNA", at positions 28 to 507 of the family's 1533-position model. The record is from RNAcentral.
GACGAACGCUGGCGGCGUGCUUAACACAUGCAAGUCGAACGGGAACGCCCGGCUUUUGUGGGGUCCUCGAGGGGCCAACGGGUAAGUAACACGUGGGUAACCUGCCCUUGACUUUGGGAUAACUUCAGGAAACUGGGGCUCAUACCGGAUAGGAGCUCCUGCUGCUUGGUGGGGGUGGGUAAGUUUCGGCUGUUGGGGAUGGACUGGCGGCUCAUUAGGUUGUUGGUGGGGUAGUGGCUUACCAUGACCAGGACCGGUAGCAGACCUGAGAGGGGAACAUGCCACAUUGGGACUGGAAUACGGCCCAGACCCGAACGGGAGGCAGCAGUGGGGAAUAUAGUAUUAGGGGCUGAAGCCGGAUGUAGCAACGCCGUGUGGGGGAUGUCGGCAUUGGGGUUGGAAUGCGAUUUCGUCUUACACGAAGUGUGAGUGACGGUAAUGGGUAAAGAAGCACCGGCUAACUACGUG